This 422-nucleotide ribosomal RNA is filed under the name uncultured bacterium. RNAcentral describes it as "partial 16S ribosomal RNA". It matches the Rfam family "Bacterial small subunit ribosomal RNA", at positions 359 to 773 of the family's 1533-position model. The record is from RNAcentral.
GAAUCUUGGACAAUGGGCGAAAGCCUGAUCCAGCAAUGCCGCGUGCAGGAUGAAGGCCUUCGGGUUGUAAACUGCUUUUGUACGGAACGAAAAGCUUUGGGUUAAUACCCUGGAGUCAUGACGGUACCGGAAGAAAAAGCACCGGCGACCUCCGUGCCAGCCGCCGCGGUAAUACGGAGGGGGCAAGCGUUAAUCGGAAUUACUGGGAGUAAAGCGUGCGCAGGCGGUUUAGUAAGACAGAGGUGAAAUCCCCGGGCUCAACCUGGGAACUGCCUUUGUGACUGCAAGGCUAGAGUACGGCAGAGGGGGGUGGAAUUCCGCGUGUAGCAGUGAAAUGCGUAGAUAUGCGGAGGAACACCGAUGGCGAAGGCAACCCCCUGGGCCUGUACUGACGCUCAUGCACGAAAGCGUGGGGAGCAAAC